RNAcentral lists this non-coding RNA (31 nucleotides) under Rattus norvegicus (Norway rat). The record is from RNAcentral. Lineage: Eukaryota; Metazoa; Chordata; Mammalia; Rodentia; Muridae.
UACACUUUCAGAUCCCUGUUGGUCUGUGACU